GACGUAGGAUGCGAGCGUUGUCCGGAAUUAUUGGGCGUAAAGCGUACGUAGGCGGUCAUCUAAGUCUGGGUAAGACAGCUCACUGGAGUGCCUGGAUACUGGGUGACUGGAGGACGGCAGAGGAAAGUGGAAUUCCCAGUGUAGCGGUGAAAUGCGUAGAUAUUGGGAGGAACACCAGUGGCGAAAGCGACUUUCUGGGCCGUUCCUGACGCUGAGGUACGAAAGCCAGGGGAGCAAACGGGAUUAGAUACCCUUGUAGU
This 260-nucleotide ribosomal RNA is filed under the name uncultured bacterium. RNAcentral describes it as "partial 16S ribosomal RNA". It matches the Rfam family "Bacterial small subunit ribosomal RNA", at positions 524 to 794 of the family's 1533-position model. The record is from RNAcentral.